RNAcentral lists this ribosomal RNA (459 nucleotides) under uncultured bacterium. RNAcentral describes it as "partial 16S ribosomal RNA". It matches the Rfam family "Bacterial small subunit ribosomal RNA", at positions 338 to 795 of the family's 1533-position model. The record is from RNAcentral.
CCUACGGGAGGCUGCAGUGAGGAAUAUUGGGCAAUGGGCGAGAGCCUGAACCAGCCAAGCCGCGUGAGGGAGUACUGCCCUAUGGGUUGUAAACCUCUUUUGUCGGGGAGCAAAAGCCGGACGUGUCCGGCUGUGAGAGUACCCGAAGAAAAAGCAUCGGCUAACUCCGUGCCAGCAGCCGCGGUAAUACGUAGGUGGCAAGCGUUGUCCGGAUUUACUGGGGGUAAAGGGCGUGUAGCCGGGUUGACAAGUCAGAUGUGAAAUCCUGCGGCUUAACCGCAGAACUGCCUUUGAAACUGUUGAUCUUGAGUACUGGAGAGGCAGACGGAAUUCCUAGUGUAGCGGUGAAAUGCGUAGAUAUUAGGAGGAACACCAGUGGCGAAGGCGGUCUGCUGGACAGCAACUGACGGUGAGGCGCGAAAGCGUGGGGAGCAAACAGGAUUAGAUACCCCUGUAGUC